CCUCCCUCUCUGUGAGAGCCUCUAAGGACUCUCUGUGACCUGAUGACCCUCCCAGGAUGGAACCAUCACCUUGGAGCAGGACCAACUCUAGGAUGUCAUCUGUCACUUUUUGAAGGCUUAUACCACCACCUUCAAGCUACAACCCAACCCACAGGACCCGGCAUCCUGCAAGGACCAUGGGGAAGAACAAUGGUCCAGAGACAGACUCUGAGCAGGAGGCUUCAGCGACUCACCAACAAGAACAGGCUCCAGAGCAAACUGGAUGGUAGAAAGAAGAGCUGGUGUCAAAAAAAUUCAAUGUGAAAAUGUUCAGAGAGUUAAAUAUGCGUUACAUGUUUGGUGUUUUGCCUCCGUGUAUGUCUAUGCAACAUGUGCAUGCUUGGUGCCCACAAAGGUCAGAAGAGGGCCCUGGAUGCCCUAGAGCCAGAAGAACACAUGGUUGUCAGCCACCAUGUAGAUGGUGAGAAUGGAACCUGAGUCCUCUGAAAGAUCCGUCCGUGCUCUUAGCCACUGAGCCAUUUCUCCAGCCUCUACAUAUGUGUUCUUUAAAAAGCCAUAAAGCAUACUCAAGAGAGCAGAAGGAAAUAACAUAUCUAUAGGGGAUGACCUUUUAAGCUCACAUACGAUCAGAGGACGCUGUAAGGGUUGGAUUACAUCAAUUCAUGAAUAAUGCAAUUUCACAAUAAUAAAGCCCAGUGCUUCUUGGCAUCACA
This is a long non-coding RNA of Mesocricetus auratus (golden hamster), 713 nucleotides long. RefSeq lists it as uncharacterized. NCBI's taxonomy places the organism in Eukaryota, Metazoa, Chordata, Mammalia, Rodentia, Cricetidae. The record is from RefSeq and is a predicted model, not a curated record. The transcript is spliced from 2 exons.